Molecule: long non-coding RNA, 1398 nt
Organism: Lycium ferocissimum
Lineage: Eukaryota; Viridiplantae; Streptophyta; Magnoliopsida; Solanales; Solanaceae
Exons: 2
Source: RefSeq, a predicted model, not a curated record
AUUAUUUCUUUGGUACAAACCCACUAUAUUGAUGUCCCUAAGUAGCGUGGAAGAGUUGUUUGGGUCAUCCAACCAUUAGUAGUGCCCGUUUGCAAACCCUAACUAUUGAAAGAAGUGAAGAACAAAGACCUUGGGGAGCCCGAGGCGUAGAUUUGGGUUAGCUUUAGAUUGGCUAGCUUGGAAGUGCGUUCGAGGUAUGUAAGGCAACUUCCUUUCUUUUUGGCAUGUCUUAGUUCCAUAGGCUAAAUUAGAGCCUUAAGGAAAUUCCAAAUCCGAAAUCCGAGCAUGAUAUGAUAUAUAUAUAUAUAUAUAUUCCUUGGCACUCCUAUGUAUGAUUUGAUGAAAAAUGAGCCGUUAUGUUUUUGAAAGAAGGGAUUUCCAAACUUUGUACAAAAAGGGUUUUACUUUAAUGAAUUUCGUAAUUUUUGAAUGUCAUAUCUUUCGCAUAAAUGCUCGGAUUGUUCCAACAUUUUCAUAAGAGUUUGCAUGAUAUAUAAUGAGUAUGUCUUCCAUAAGCGGGCCUGGUUCGGGUCGAUACCCGUCCGUGGGUCCGCGACUUUCCCUUAUGUAAUUCGGAGAAUCUUUGAAAGAAUUUGGUAUGACCAUUAUCCGAUUUCAAAUAUGACCAUUUUAAUGAUGUUUGAAGUUAUGAUAAUGAUUUUAUGCAUAUGACUACUCACGACUCUAAUCGUGCAUCUUUUAUUCCUUUCGCCGAGUCCCGGGCCGGUUCUGUUAUCGUGCGCAUUUUGACAUACUCCGGAGUUAUGCUGUGUUUAUGGUUCACCGAGCUACUCGCAAAAGAGGGUCGGGUUCCACCUAUAUUUGGUGUUAUGUUGUGUAUGGCGUUAUGUUGUGAUGUGAUAUGUGACGGGGAUACGGAGAUUUGAGACUUUCUGGUGUUAUGCUGUGUUAUGGCGCCAUCGACGGGUGGGCGACCAUAUUCUUCUGUACCCGAUGCAUGACUCGCAUAUUUUUUUUUAAGCAAAUAAAUUUUGAUACGUUGGAUUUGCACUUAUGUUUGAUACUUCCAUUUCGUUUAUGUCUCGGAUUUACUUUCUGUACAUUCUGCUUUGCAUACUCAGUACAUAUUUCGUACUGACCCCCUUUUUUUGGGGGGGGGGCGCGUUUCAUGCCGCGGUACGGACGCACGGUUUGGUGAUCCACCGGUUUAGGACAUCCCCUUCUUCUGCUGUUGGAGUGCUCUUCUCGUUUCAGAGCAUACACUUUUGGUAUAUAUAUAUUUUGUUCGCUAUGUAUGUAUACAUUUGUUCAGGGGUACGGCGGGGCCCUGUCCCGCCAUAUGUUUCGGUUGGUCUGUGUAGAGGUCUGUAGACGUAUUUGUGGGUAUGUGUGCCUACCUCUGUACAGUUGUGUUUGUAUGACCCUAUUCGUUACGGC